Molecule: ribosomal RNA, 497 nt
Filed under: uncultured bacterium
Lineage: Bacteria
Description: partial 16S ribosomal RNA
Rfam family: Bacterial small subunit ribosomal RNA
Source: RNAcentral
GAUGAACGCUGGCGGCGUGCCUAAUACAUGCAAGUCGAGCGAACAGACGAGGAGCUUGCUCCUCUGACGUUAGCGGCGGACGGGUGAGUAACACGUGGAUAACCUACCUAUAAGACUGGGAUAACAUCGGGAAACCGGAGCUAAUACCGGAUAAUAUAUUGAACCGCAUGGUUCAAUAGUGAAAGACGGUUUUGCUGUCACUUAUAGAUGGAUCCGCGCCGCAUUAGCUAGUUGGUAAGGUAACGGCUUACCAAGGCAACGAUGCGUAGCCGACCUGAGAGGGGGAUCGGCCACACUGGAACUGAGACACGGUCCAGGCUCCUACGGGAGGCAGCAGUAGGGAAUCUUCCGCAAUGGGCGAAAGCCUGACGGAGCAACGCCGCGUGAGUGAUGAAGGUCUUCGGAUCGUAAAACUCUGUUAUUAGGGAAGAACAAAUGUGUAAGUAACUAUGCACGUCUUGACGGUACCUAAUCAGAAAGCCACGGCUAACUACGUG